Molecule: ribosomal RNA, 305 nt
Filed under: uncultured bacterium
Lineage: Bacteria
Description: bacterial SSU rRNA
Rfam family: Bacterial small subunit ribosomal RNA
Source: RNAcentral
UUCCUACGGGGGGCAGCAGUGGGGGAUAUUGCACAAUGGGGGGAACCCUGAUGCAGCGACGCCGCGUGGGCGAUGGAGCGCCACGGCGCGUAAAGCCCUAUCAGCAGGGAAGAGGACGACGGUACCUGACUAAGAAGCCCCGGCUAAAUACGUGCCAGCAGCCGCGGUAAUACGUAGGUGACAAGCGUUGUCCGGAUUUACUGGGUGUAAAGGGCGCGUAGGCGGGAUAGCAAGUCAGUCGUGAAAUGCCGAGGCUUAACCUCGGAGCUGCGAUUGAAACUGUUAUUCUUGAGUAUCGGAGAGGG